This 443-nucleotide ribosomal RNA is filed under the name uncultured Hyphomonadaceae bacterium. Its description in RNAcentral is "bacterial SSU rRNA". It matches the Rfam family "Bacterial small subunit ribosomal RNA", at positions 29 to 505 of the family's 1533-position model. Lineage: Bacteria; Pseudomonadati; Pseudomonadota; Alphaproteobacteria; Hyphomonadales; Hyphomonadaceae. The record is from RNAcentral.
AACGAACGCUGGCGGCAGGCUUAAGACAUGCAAGUCGAACGAGAACCAGGAGCUUGCUCCUGGGGACAGUGGCAGACGGGUGAGUAACGCGUGGCAACCUACCCUUCAGUACGGGACAACAGUUGGAAACGACUGCUAAUACCGUAUACGUCCUCCGGGAGAAAGAUUUAUCGCUGAUGGAUGGGGCCGCGUUAGAUUAGCUAGAUGGUGGGGUAAUGGCCUACCAUGGCGACGAUCUAUAGCGGGUCUGAGAGGAUGAUCCGCCACACUGGGACUGAGACACGGCCCAGACUCCUACGGGAGGCAGCAGUCGGGAAUAUUGGACAAUGGGCGCAAGCCUGAUCCAGCCAUGCCGCGUGAAUGAUGAAGGCCUUAGGGUUGUAAAAUUCUUUCGCUAGGGAAGAUAAUGACGGUACCUAGUAAAGAAGCCCCGGCUAACUCCG